AGUGAACGCUGGCGGUAGGCCUAACACAUGCAAGUCGAACGGCAGCACAGUAAGAGCUUGCUCUUACGGGUGGCGAGUGGCGGACGGGUGAGGAAUACAUCGGAAUCUACUUUUUCGUGGGGGAUAACGUAGGGAAACUUACGCUAAUACCGCAUACGACCUACGGGUGAAAGCAGGGGAUCUUCGGACCUUGCGCGAUUGAAUGAGCCGAUGUCGGAUUAGCUAGUUGGCGGGGUAAAGGCCCACCAAGGCGACGAUCCGUAGCUGGUCUGAGUGGAUGAUCAGCCACGCUGGCCCUGAGACACGGUCCAGACUCCUACGGGAGGCAGCAGUGGGGAAUAUUGGACAAUGGGCGCAAGCCUAAUCCAGCCAUACCGCGUGGGUGAAGAAGGCCUUCGUGUUGUAAAGCCCUUUUGUUGGGAAAGAAAAGCAGCAGGUUAAUACCCCGCUGUUCUGACGGUACCCAAAGAAUAAGCACCGGCUAACUUCGUG
RNAcentral lists this ribosomal RNA (492 nucleotides) under uncultured bacterium. Its description in RNAcentral is "partial 16S ribosomal RNA". It matches the Rfam family "Bacterial small subunit ribosomal RNA", at positions 29 to 507 of the family's 1533-position model. The record is from RNAcentral.